Molecule: ribosomal RNA, 1511 nt
Filed under: metagenome
Description: bacterial LSU rRNA
Rfam family: Bacterial large subunit ribosomal RNA
Source: RNAcentral
GAGAGAUCAGAAGCGAGAAUGUUGACAUGAGUAGCGACAAACAGGGUGAGAGACCCUGUCGCCAUAAGUCCAAGGGUUCCUGCUUAAAGCUAAUCUGAGCAGGGUAAGCCGGCCCCUAAGGCGAGGCCGAAAGGCGUAGUCGAUGGGAACACGGUUAAUAUUCCGUGGCCAGGAGGAAGUGACGGAUCUCAAAGAUUGUCUGCCCUUAUCGGAUUGGGUGGGCCGUUCAGAGGUCCCUGGAAAUAGCCCUCCAUCAGACCGUACCCUAAACCGACACAGGUGGACUGGUAGAGUAUACCAAGGCGCUUGAGAGAACCACGUUAAAGGAACUCGGCAAAAUGCCUCCGUAAGUUCGCGAGAAGGAGGCCCCGUCUGUAGGCAACUAUAGGCGGGGGGCACAAACUAGGGGGUGGCGACUGUUUACUUAAAACACAGGGCUCUGCGAAGCCGUAAGGCGACGUAUAGGGUCUGACGCCUGCCCGGUGCUGGAAGGUUAAAAGGAGGGGUGCAAGCUCUGAAUUGAAGCCCCAGUAAACGGCGGCCGUAACAAUAACGGUCCUAAGGUAGCGAAAUUCCUUGUCGGGUAAGUUCCGACCUGCACGAAUGGCGUAACGAUCUCCCCGCUGUCUCUAACGUGGACUCAGCGAAAUUGAACUGUGUGUCAAGAUGCACACUACCCGCGGUUAGACGGAAAGACCCCAUGAACCUUUACUCCAGCUUUGCACUGGCAUCAGGAUUGCGAUGUGCAGGAUAGGUGGUAGCCUUUGAAGCGGGGACGCUAGUUCCCGUGGAGGCUCCCUUGAGAUACCACCCUUUGCACUCUUGAUGUCUAACCGCGGCCCGUUAUCCGGGUCCGGGACCCUGCAUGGUGGGGAGUUUGACUGGGGCGUCGCCUCCCAAACAGUAACGGAGGCGCGCGAAGGUAGGCUCAGACCGGUCGGAAAUCGGUCGUUGAGUGCAAUGGCAGAAGCCUGCCUGACUGCAAGACUGACAAGUCGAGCAGAGACGAAAGUCGGUCAUAGUGAUCCGGUGGUCCCAAGUGGGAGGGCCAUCGCUCAACGGAUAAAAGGUACUCUGGGGAUAACAGGCUGAUGAUGCCCAAGAGUCCAUAUCGACGGCAUCGUUUGGCACCUCGAUGUCGGCUCAUCUCAUCCUGGGGCUGGAGCAGGUCCCAAGGGUAUGGCUGUUCGCCAUUUAAAGAGGUACGUGAGCUGGGUUUAGAACGUCGUGAGACAGUUCGGUCCCUAUCUGCCGUGGGUGUAGGAGACUUGAGAAGAGUUGCCCCUAGUACGAGAGGACCGGGGUGAACGAACCACUGGUGGACCAGUUAUCGUGCCGACGGUAGUGCUGGGUAGCUAUGUUCGGACAGGAUAACCGCUGAAGGCAUCUAAGCGGGAAGCCCCCUUCAAAACAAGGUCUCCCUUGAGGGCCGUGGAAGACCACCACGUCGAUAGGCCGGAGGUGUAAGUGCAGCAAUGCAUUCAGCUGACCGGUACUAAUUGCCCGAAAAA